UCAGGAGGCUCAGACACAAGAAUCACUUGAACCUGGGAGGCAGAGGUUGCAGUGAGCUGAGGUCACGCCACCGCACUCCAGCCUGGGCAACAGAGCGAGACUCUGUCUCCAAAAAAAAAAAAAAAAAAAAAAAAAAAAAAGAAAAAAAAGAAAAGGAAAAAGUCUCAAUGAAUAAUAAUUUUUUUUGUGCCUCAAUUGUAAAUGCCCAUUUAGACAUUUCCAAAGGCCAUGUUCAAAAAGGAAUUCCAAGAACAUUUGGUGGGAAGGGAAUGGCAUCGUAUUUGUUCUGAAGGAAUACUUGUGAAAAGUGGUCAUGUGACAAACUCAUUCAGGCUGUCAAACAAACACAUUGCUAGGAGGAUCACCUCAACCUGUAGGAACUUCCUUCCUGCCAAGAAGCUGGUUCAUUCAUCACCAAGCAUCAUCAUCAUGGAAUUCUCACCCUGCUGGAGGUUCGAGCCAAGACAUAGAAAGAGGACAUUACCUGGGGCAGGAAUCAAUUGCCUAUCACUGGGGAUGCCUGCAGAUCAUUGUCCAGAGUGGCUGCUGUUCACUGAGUGUUUCCUCUGUGCCGGGCACCUUGCACACCUUAUUUUCAGUCUCCGCAGCUGCCUUGUUGAGGUUGGCUCUCUAUGCUUCUGUUUCACAGUUGGGGAAACUGAGGUUCAGAGAUGUGAAUUAAUUUUCUCAAAGUAACAUUAGGUAUUGGUAAGAUUUCAUUUAUCCAUUCACUAUUAAAUAUUAUUAAGUAAUUACAGUGCUUUAAGAACUCCAUGUAAAUGGUGGAUUUGAGGCCAAACUUUAAAAGCUGAAUUACAUAAGGAGUUAACAUUGCAAAAAGCUUAGAAAUUUAUGUUCCAGGUGGAGCGAACAGAGGUUGUGUCUUUUCGGUUACAAGUAAUAAAAUCCAGAGGCUAUCUCAAGGGAAAAAUAAAGCACUAGAUGGUCUACCAAAGAUAGAGGGGCAGGUGGAUUUUGGGAAGGGGCAAGAGUGAACAGCUAGAAAAAUGUGGCUUACGUUUUCUGUCUUAUCUGCCCCUUAGCUUCAUAACUUUCUUUUUCUCAUGUGUAGAGUGAUCAAAGAUGACCACCACCAAACUUUCAUAUUAAAGAUUAAAACACAAAAAUAGGCCAGACAGAGUGGCUCAUGCCUGUAAUCCCAGCAUCUUGAGAGGGUGAGGCAGAAGGAUCGCUUGAGCCCAGGAGUUUAGGUUCAGCCUGGGCAACAUAGCAAGAUCCUGUCACUAUAAAUAGUAACAAGAUUAGGUGGACAUUAUGGUUCAUACCUGUGGUCCCAGCUCUUCAGGGGGCUGAGGCAGGAAGAUCCCUUGAGCUCAGAAGUUUGAGG
Molecule: long non-coding RNA, 1348 nt
Filed under: Pan troglodytes (chimpanzee)
Lineage: Eukaryota; Metazoa; Chordata; Mammalia; Primates; Hominidae
Description: lncRNA (ENSPTRG00000054368.1)
Source: RNAcentral